This 85-nucleotide transfer RNA is filed under the name Acidovorax sp. LjRoot118. Its description in RNAcentral is "tRNA-Leu". The record is from RNAcentral. Lineage: Bacteria; Pseudomonadati; Pseudomonadota; Betaproteobacteria; Burkholderiales; Comamonadaceae.
CUCUCCAUGGCGCAAUCGGCAGACGCACCAGCUUCAAACCCUGGCGCCUUCGGGCAUGUCCGUUCGAGUCGGACUGGGGAGACCA